AGACUCUUCUCCCUUGUUAAGUCAAUAUAAUACACAUCAGAAGGAUCUAUACAGAGACCAACACAGAGAUUGGGAGAGAGAUGGGAAAUGGUGGAGGGCCAUCUCCACUGGUGCCAUCUCUAGUUGUAGGUACACUAGGUUUGGUCAUCUUUGGUCCGACUUUGCUGUCCCUCCUCGAGGUUGUGCCCCGGUCCUUCUGUCCUCAGAGGAAGAUGAUGAAGGCAGAGGAGGCGUUGGGUUUUCCCUCACUAUGGCUCUGCUCUGCGUCUCGUUGCUACUCAUCAUUCAACUCUUCUCUUGGCUCUUCCCGUCUCGUGGCACCCCUUUGUCAUAUCCACAAUAUGGCUCAGGCGAUGAUCAUGAUGAUGGGUUCGGCUUAGGAUCUCUUCUUCUACUAUUGCUCUUCUUCGUGUUGUACAGUGUGGUCUAACCAGCUGGUAGUAGCCCGACUCAGAGUUCGCUCUCCAGGCCAGUCGAGUCGUCUAUGUAUGUAGCGGACAAUACCAAAAUCGACGUCACCUCUCAAAAGUUGCAUUAAGGCCAUGUGGUGCGUGUCUAGCCAGAAUCGUCCUAGCACGAAAACCUUAAAAUACAGAGAGUUGGGGUUAGGGAGCCUUGCCUAAAGCCAGCAGGCAAGCGACAGGCACUGCAAAAUCUCGAUCUCGUCUAUUAUUCAUAGUUUAAGACGGGAUUAAAAUGCAAAUUUGACCAUCGGUUUACUCAUCUAAAUUUCUUGGAUGUGUUCCUCAUUCUAUCAGAUAGAACGUCCAUCUCCCUUUCAAAAGAAUAUACUAACUAUAAGCCACUCCUCACCAAAUGGCACAAGGAAAACUAACUUAAAUUUAACAUACAACAAAGUAAAACAAGAGCAAACCCAAGCAAACAAGCAG
Punica granatum (pomegranate) is the source of this 890-nucleotide non-coding RNA. The record is from RefSeq and is a predicted model, not a curated record. Lineage: Eukaryota; Viridiplantae; Streptophyta; Magnoliopsida; Myrtales; Lythraceae.